Molecule: ribosomal RNA, 253 nt
Filed under: uncultured bacterium
Lineage: Bacteria
Description: partial 16S ribosomal RNA
Rfam family: Bacterial small subunit ribosomal RNA
Source: RNAcentral
UACGUAGGUGGCGAGCGUUGUCCGGAUUUACUGGGCGUAAAGGGAGCGUAGGCGGACUUUUAAGUGAGAUGUGAAAUACUCGGGCUUAACCUGAGUGCUGCAUUUCAAACUGGAAGUCUAGAGUGCAGGAGAGGAGAAGGGAAUUCCUAGUGUAGCGGUGAAAUGCGUAGAGAUUAGGAAGAACACCAGUGGCGAAGGCGCUUCUCUGGACUGUAACUGACGCUGAGGCUCGAAAGCGUGGGGAGCAAACAGG